This is a long non-coding RNA of Symphalangus syndactylus (siamang), 1368 nucleotides long. RefSeq lists it as uncharacterized. Lineage: Eukaryota; Metazoa; Chordata; Mammalia; Primates; Hylobatidae. The record is from RefSeq and is a predicted model, not a curated record.
AAUAAAAGAGUGUUUUAUUUCUAUGAAGACUAAGUUCAAGUCUUUGGAAAGGUUAUAAUAAAGGUAAUACAAGUAAUCAUUAAAUUAUGUGUGGGCAAGAUGACUACAAAAGAUUAGAGAAAAUCUUAAAUUUUCAAAAGGUUAUAUACUCUGAUUAUUGUAAGAAUCUUUAGAUUUCCAUUGUAUUUAAAUAAAAUACUAAAGCCUAUGGAUUACUGCAAACAAGAUGUUUUAGGACUUCAACCAGCAGAUUCAUUCUUUAAUUAAAAAAAGCCUUUGUUAUAUAUAAGCACAUUGGCAAAUGUAUACAUUUUUAGAUAAAAUAAAAAAAGUAUAUGUUUUUGAUUUUUUCUUUUAACAGACUUUUAAAAUUAACUUACUAUUAGCUUUGCCCAUGUAUGCUAAGAGGACUUUUACAAUGACAAGUAAAAAGAAUACAUUGAUGAUAAGUGUUUUGGUUCAGACAUUUCCAGAGCCAUGGAAUAGCAUGAGAAAAAAAACCUCUUUGAAAUAGAACGUAUUCCUUUGAAUUGGAGUCAAAAUUAGAAGCAUCCACCAAUGGAUGAAAGGAUAAAGAAAAUACGGUAUAUAUACACAAUGUAAUACUAUUCAGUCUUAAAAAAGAAGAAAAUUCUGGCAUUUGUGACAACAUGGAUGAACCUGAAGGACAUUAGGUUAAUUGAAAUAAGCCAGGCAUAGAAAGACAAAUACUGGCUGGGCAUGGUGGCUCACGCCUGUAAUCCCAGCACUUUGGGAGGCUGAGGUGGGUGGAUCAAGAGGUCAGGAGUUCGAGACCAGCCUGGCCAACAUAGUGAAACCCUGUCUCUACUAAAAACUGGGCAUGGUGUCUGGUGCCUGUAAUCCCAGCUACUCAGGAGGCUGAGGCAGGAGGAUCACUUGAAACUGGAAGGUGGUGGUUGCAGUGAGCUGAGCUCGUGCCACUGCACUCUAGCCUAGGCAACAAGAGCAAAACUCUGUCAAAAAAAAAAAAAAGAAAAGAAAAAAGAAGAAAAGAAGAAAGAAAAAAGGAAGAAAGAAAAAAAGAAAGAAAAAGAAAGAUAAGUACUGCAUGAUCUCACUUAUAUGUGGAAUCCAAAAAAGUUGAAUUCAUAGAAGCAGAGAGUACAAUGGUGCUUACCAGAGGCUGGAGGGAGAUGGGACCAUCUAGUUGCAGGAAAACAAGCUUGGAACUCCCACUGAUUCUACAUUAUGAGAAUUAACAGGACCAUCCUCUCUGGAGUUGCUCAAGAGUUGCUCAAGUUUGGCUGAAGGAAGCAAAGCUACAUUUCUUGGUAAGAGUAUUAAGAUGCAUCAUUCCUGCGGUUUUAGAGCUCAGCACAUCUAAUCCACAAAAGCACUUGAAUAAGG